UACGGAGGGUCCAAGCGUUAUCCGGAAUCAUUGGGUUUAAAGGGUCCGUAGGCGGUUUUGUAAGUCAGUGGUGAAAGCCCAUCGCUCAACGGUGGAACGGCCAUUGAUACUGCAAGACUUGAAUUAUUAGGAAGUAACUAGAAUAUGUAGUGUAGCGGUGAAAUGCUUAGAGAUUACAUGGAAUACCAAUUGCGAAGGCAGGUUACUACUAAUGAAUUGACGCUGAUGGACGAAAGCGUGGGUAGCGAACAGG
Molecule: ribosomal RNA, 253 nt
Filed under: uncultured bacterium
Lineage: Bacteria
Description: partial 16S ribosomal RNA
Rfam family: Bacterial small subunit ribosomal RNA
Source: RNAcentral